UACAGAGGGGGCAAGCGUUGUUCGGAAUUACUGGGCGUAAAGGGCGCGUAGGCGGCCCGCUAAGUCGAACGUGAAAUCUCCACGCUCAACGUGGAGGCGCCACCUGAAACUGCCGUGACUCGAGUCCGGUAGGGGAGUGUGGAAUUCCCGGUGUAGCGGUGAAAUGCGCAGAUAUCGGGAGGAACACCCGUAGCGAAGGCGGCACUCUGGGCCGGUACUGACGCUGAGGAGCGAAAGCGUGGGGAGCAAACAGG
Molecule: ribosomal RNA, 254 nt
Filed under: uncultured bacterium
Lineage: Bacteria
Description: partial 16S ribosomal RNA
Rfam family: Bacterial small subunit ribosomal RNA
Source: RNAcentral